Molecule: ribosomal RNA, 292 nt
Filed under: uncultured bacterium
Lineage: Bacteria
Description: partial 16S ribosomal RNA
Source: RNAcentral
GGACUACUCGGGUUUCUAAUCCCGUUCGCUCCCCUAGCUUUCGCCCCUCAGCGUCAGGUCAGAGCCAGGACAGUGCCUUCGCCUUUGGUGUUCCUCCGGAUAUCUACGCAUUUCACCACUCCACCCGGAAUUCCCUGUCCCUCUCUCUGCCUCAAGUCACGUCGUCUUCAGCCACCCCUGUGCGUUAAGCGCACAAUUGUCAGGCUGAACUGGCGUGACCGCCUGCGGGCCCUUUACGCCCAGUAACUCCGGACAACGCUCGCCCCCUACGUAUUACCGCGGCUGCUGGCAC